UGUAGUCUUCAUACCACCCUGAAUAUGCCCAAUCUCACCUGAUCUCAGAAACUAAGUAGGAUGAGGAUAGCUUGGGAGUGUGUAGAUGGUGCCUUGAUUCACCAAGUAUAUAAAGCCAUCAACUCUGCAC
This 130-nucleotide ribosomal RNA is filed under the name Ochotona princeps (American pika). Lineage: Eukaryota; Metazoa; Chordata; Mammalia; Lagomorpha; Ochotonidae. The record is from RNAcentral.